UAUAGGAACUCUGGCACUGAAAGCUUGAAUAACCCAAGGUAAUGAUGUCGUCACCAACGGAGGACAAGAAUAGAACCCAAAUCCCUUGACUCCCAAGCUUGUGUUUUCCAUUAAUUGUGCUCCUUUCUAUUCAUCCAAGAGCAUCAAGUGUAAAAGGCUGGAGAAAGGAGUGGACACAAAUGAGCCAAGUCCGCAAGGUGGAGACUGCACUGAAGGUCCUAGGAAUCGCCCCUUGGCACUUUCCUUUUGUGUUGGCUGAGGAAGAUGAAAGCAGCAACAACCACAAACUCCUGGGACCAAGAACUGGAACUAGACAAUGAGUUACAAGGCACUAAUAGUUCUGGAUCCUUGGGUGGUCUUGAUGUUCGCAGACGAAUUCCUAUAAAGCUCAUCUCCAAACAAGCAAACAAAGCGAAACCUGCACCGCGAACUCAAAGAACUAUAAACAGGAUGCCUGCAAAGGCUCCACCUGGUGAUGAAGAAGGAUUUGAUUAUAAUGAAGAAGAACGGUAUGACUGUAAAGGGGGUGAGCUGUUUGCAAAUCAGCGAAGAUUUCCUGGACACCUUUUUUGGGACUUUCAGAUAAACAUCUUAGGUGAAAAGGAUGAUACACCAGUUCAUUUCUGUGACAAGUGUGGAUUGCCUAUUAAAAUCUAUGGGAGAAUGAUUCCAUGCAAGCAUGUUUUUUGCUAUGACUGUGCUAUUUUACAUGAAAAAAAGGGAGAUAAGAUGUGUCCAGGCUGUAGUGAUCCUGUGCAGCGAAUUGAGCAGUGUACACGAGGUUCUCUCUUCAUGUGUAGCAUUGUUCAAGGGUGCAAGAGAACAUAUUUGUCUCAGAGAGACUUACAGGCUCAUAUCAACCAUCGCCAUAUGAGAGCUGGAAAACCUGUUACCCGUGCUUCACUUGAAAAUGUUCAUCCUCCUAUUGCCCCACCACCAACUGAAAUCCCUGAGCGUUUUAUAAUGCCACCAGACAAGCACCAUAUGAGCCAUAUUCCACCAAAGCAGCACAUCAUGAUGCCACCACCUCCUUUGCAACAUGUGCCACAUGAGCACUAUAAUCAGCCACACGAGGAUAUUCGUGCUCCUCCAGCAGAAUUGUCCAUGGCUCCACCUCCACCUCGAUCGGUCAGUCAGGAAACCUUUCGUAUUUCAACAAGAAAACACAGCAAUUUAAUAACCGUCCCUAUUCAGGAUGACUCAAAUUCAGGUGCUAGAGAACCACCACCUCCUGCCCCAGCACCUGCUCACCAUCAUCCUGAAUAUCAGGGUCAACCAGUGGUAUCGCACCCUCAUCAUAUUAUGCCUCCACAGCAACAUUAUGCACCACCCCCACCUCCUCCACCACCAAUAAGCCAUCCAAUGCCACAUCCUCCCCAGGCUGCAGGUACUCCUCACUUGGUAUAUAGCCAAGCUCCACCUCCACCAAUGACCUCUGCUCCACCACCAAUAACCCCUCCCCCUGGACAUAUUAUUGCCCAGAUGCCACCUUAUAUGAAUCAUCCUCCUCCAGGACCUCCCCCACCUCAACAUGGUGGUCCACCUGUAACUGCACCCCCUCCUCACCAUUAUAAUCCUAACUCAUUACCCCAGUUCACUGAAGAUCAAGGAACUCUGAGCCCUCCAUUUACACAACCAGGGGGAAUGAGUCCUGGUAUAUGGCCUGCACCAAGAGGGCCACCACCUCCUCCACGAUUGCAGGGUCCGCCUUCUCAAACCCCACUUCCUGGACCACAUCAUCCAGAUCAGACGAGAUAUAGACCGUAUUACCAAUGAUAAUAGUAUUUUGAACGGAAGAUAUGAGGGGGAAAAAAACUUAUGUAUAGUCAAUCUUUUAAUUAAGCUUUGACUGUUUUGGGAAGGAAGAGUACCUCUUACCGAGGUAGUAUAAAACACAUAGGGUCUUGUUUCUUAAAAUGGUUUUAAAUCUUGACCUUAAGAUUGAUUUCAAGUACCAUACUGUAGUACAGAUAAGUGGCUCAGUUGAGCACAGCUAUAUUUUAACAUCUCUUUGUUCCCCUAGUUUAGUAAAUUGACCCAGAGGUGACCAUUUGUAAAAAAAUUGGAAAAAAUUUUUCAUUGUUUUACUUCAAAAGUUUUGUUUUGUUAAACCCAACGUUUAGUUUUUCUUGUGAUACAUUUUGUUAACCUGUGUAAAAGGAUUAAAUUUCAAUAUGGUUGUAAAAAUGCUAUUUUUAUGUGAAUUUAAGUGCAGCCACAUACUGUUUUUUAAACCAUAUGUUUUACCACUAAUUUCCCAAAGUUAUAAUAAAAUCCUAAAAGUAAAAAUCUACUAGAAUUUGCUGUAAGGCAGACUGUUAAAUGAUAGAGAAUUAUUUCACAUUUUAGGCACUGAAAUGUUGAGGUUUCGAGGUAUAGUAAGUAUACAAUGCACUUCACUUGGAUGCCUUUUCAUUGUUAGGCAGCCUCAGGAGCACCAAAAUACAUUGGAAUUCUAGUACUAAGAUAUAUUUGUUGGUAAUGUUAAAAGACAUUACUAAUUAUUUGGAAAGAGAUGGCCAAAAUAAUCAACUCUACAGGCUUCAAGCUGGUGGGGGAAUGCUGUUACUCAUUAAUGCUUUUUUACUGAAUGGUCGGAAUCACAUAUGCACCACACAUACUGAUCUUAAGUAACAUUAUUUUAUAGAACUGUUUAAAUGGGUUUAAAUGGUGUUCUUUAGAUGAAAUGUGUUCCGUUUUGUUCAUUGUCUUAAACUGAAUAGGGCUGAAUAGGCUUUAUGUAAUUCUUCAUUUCAUGGUAGAGUUUGAUGCUGUGUUUAAGUGGGUUCUUGUUUAUAGGAUUUUCAACUACAGUUUGAAUGCCAUGGAGGAAUUUGCAUAAUAUAUUAAUGAAGGACAUAUUCUUGUAAUCACAAAUUUGCAUUUGCUCAGGUUUCAUUGCUGUGUGAUAGGAUUUUUCCUCUAACUUGAAAUUUAGAAACUUUUAUUUCCUAUUCCUUUUGUCGGUAAAGCAGUCUGAAUUUGGAACAUUUUAGCAUGGAGUCAACAGUGAAGACUACCAGAUAAUUUUGUAUUGGAGAAGAGGAAAUAACAGCUAAAUUGUGGAUUUCAGUGCUUUACAUGGUGCCUUUCGAGUCAGCUUUUACAUUAUAGGGGCUUGUUAUAGUUUAGCUAAGAUGACCACUCAACAGUUUAUACAGAACUCGUAUGUAUAAAUCAACAUUCUUAGGAUAUUAUUUAUAUCCUUUGAAUAAAUCCCUGUGAAGUUUUUCCUCCCCACUAAAAUGGUGCAUAAUAAAACAUGAAAUAUGUAGUAUGCAGAUAUCAUUUAUUAGAUAGUUUGUAGUGUAUACAUUUAGAACAUACUUCUUUUGACAAAGGGUGAUCUGAUUGCUAAUUUACCAUUUUAUUCUGUCAGGUACAGGUGAAACAAAUUCUCAUCUUGAAUGAUCAGAUGCAAAAUCAUUUCCGAACCCUAGAGCAGAAGUUAGAAAUAACAAAAUGGCCGUUUCAACCUUGACUGGCCAAAAAUAACUAAUAAACUUCUUUGUUUUAAGUCAGGCAAGUGAUUUUCUACAUUUAGCAGUUUGAAAGUCCAGUGUUAAUGCAAUAUUUCUAGUGAGAAAUGCUUGUUAUUAAAAGCAUGGGAGUGAUAGUGUGAAAUGGUGGUGAGUGCUUCUAUCAUAUUACUGUAGGUACUUGGACUGGUGCAAACUUGAUUCCUUUUCAUCCCCCUGUUUAGGAGCUAUUAAAAUAUUACUGUUAAAAAUCCAAACCAUUCUUUGUUCCAUGUAAUAAGAAAAUAGCCAAAAUCACUUUAGAGCUUCUCAACUAUUUAUGAAGAGCUAUCCUGCUUUUAUUAAAAGUCACUAGAGUUGAAUGUGGUAAGAAACCACUUAGCCUAUGUAUUGGACGAGAAAAUCAGUAUCAUGAUAAAAUUUUGAAUUAAGAGAACCCUUGUAGAGUUUUAAAAAAAUGAUUUAUUUUCAAUUAGGUUUAAGAAAUCUAUGUUAUGCAGGGAGGCAUAUCAGAUGAAUGUUGUAGCAGACAAAAGUUUUAAAUCGUGUUAGACUUGAAUUCAUCAAUUGUUUGAAUGAGGGUGGGUGGGUAGAAGGAUAACAAAAUUACUGUUAGUGUUUCUUUCCUUACGGAAAAAGAUGUGAAUCCCAGCCUUAUUUCAGGGAAGCCUUUGAAGCUAUGAUGGACAUAAGUCUAAAUUAAAUGUAUGUAUGUUUCAUUAUAUUGCUCUUAAGACUACUGAGGUG
This 4226-nucleotide long non-coding RNA is filed under the name Pan troglodytes (chimpanzee). RNAcentral's name for it is "long non-coding RNA NONPTRT015829". The record is from RNAcentral. Lineage: Eukaryota; Metazoa; Chordata; Mammalia; Primates; Hominidae.